Molecule: long non-coding RNA, 424 nt
Organism: Mauremys reevesii (Reeves's turtle)
Lineage: Eukaryota; Metazoa; Chordata; Testudines; Geoemydidae
Exons: 3
Source: RefSeq, a predicted model, not a curated record
CAUGGUUUCACUUACUGCAAGUGAUCACACUUCUAGACAAUUAAUUUGGAAACUAAGAUUCUUCUUUGAUCCCCCACGCAAUAAAAUGGGAAAGCAGAAAUGGAGUUAACCCAUUGUUCAUCACGGAUUAAGUAGAACCCUUGCCCCUGGCAUUAAAGAACAACCAAAUUAGAGCUGGUCAACAAAAAAAGAAUCAAUGGAAAGACCCUGUGUAAGCAGGAUAUCAUUGUGGAGACGUCACCAAGGUACCAUAUCACCGAUCAUUGGAAUUGCCAUACUGGAUCAGAGCAGUGUGCCCUGGCUAGGUAAUCUAGUAUCCCAUCUCCGACAGCGGACUGUACCAACUGCUUCAGAGAAAGGUGCAAGAAACAGAAGUUAUGGAAUUGCCUGUCUACAGGGAAAGCUUCUUCCUAAACCCCAUUAA